GAUGAACGCUGGCGGCGUGCCUAAUACAUGCAAGUCGAGCGAACGGACGAGAAGCUUGCUUCUCUGAUGUUAGCGGCGGACGGGUGAGUAACACGUGGAUAACCUACCUAUAAGACUGGGAUAACUUCGGGAAACCGGAGCUAAUACCGGAUAAUAUUUUGAACCGCAUGGUUCAAAAGUAAAAGACGGUCUUGCUGUCACUUAUAGAUGGAUCCGCGCUGCAUUAGCUAGUUGGUAAGGUAACGGCUUACCAAGGCAACGAUGCAUAGCCGACCUGAGAGGGUGAUCGGCCACACUGGAACUGAGACACGGUCCAGACUACUACGGGAGGCAGCAGUAGGGAAUCUUCCGCAAUGGGCGAAAGCUUGACGGAGCAACGCCGCGUGAGUGAUGAAGGUCUUCGGAUCGUAAAACUCUGUUAUUAGGGAAGAACAUAUGUGUAAGUAACUGUGCACAUCUUGACGGUACCUAAUCAGAAAGCCACGGCUAACUACGUG
This 497-nucleotide ribosomal RNA is filed under the name uncultured bacterium. RNAcentral's name for it is "partial 16S ribosomal RNA". It matches the Rfam family "Bacterial small subunit ribosomal RNA", at positions 28 to 507 of the family's 1533-position model. The record is from RNAcentral.